RNAcentral lists this ribosomal RNA (247 nucleotides) under uncultured Bdellovibrio sp. RNAcentral's name for it is "partial 16S ribosomal RNA". It matches the Rfam family "Bacterial small subunit ribosomal RNA", at positions 210 to 456 of the family's 1533-position model. Lineage: Bacteria; Pseudomonadati; Bdellovibrionota; Bdellovibrionia; Bdellovibrionales; Pseudobdellovibrionaceae. The record is from RNAcentral.
GUUUUUCGCUCUAAGAUGAGUCCGCGUAAGAUUAGCUAGUUGGUAGGGUAACGGCCUACCAAGGCGACGAUCUUUAACUGGUCUGAGAGGAUGAUCAGUCACACUGGAACUGAGACACGGUCCAGACUCCUACGGGAGGCAGCAGUAGGGAAUAUUGCACAAUGGAGGAAACUCUGAUGCAGCGACGCCGCGUGAGUGAUGAAGGCCUUCGGGUCGUAAAGCUCUGUCGCAGGGGAAUAACACAAUG